This 855-nucleotide ribosomal RNA is filed under the name Streptomyces sp. 10SM12. RNAcentral describes it as "bacterial SSU rRNA". It matches the Rfam family "Bacterial small subunit ribosomal RNA", at positions 661 to 1477 of the family's 1533-position model. Lineage: Bacteria; Bacillati; Actinomycetota; Actinomycetes; Kitasatosporales; Streptomycetaceae. The record is from RNAcentral.
AUUCGGUAAUGUCCUGAUGGUAAGUCAGUGAAAUGUCGUCAGAUAUCAUGAUGAUCAUCCGGUGUGAAUGACGAUCCUCUGGUUUCAUACCUGACGGCUGGAAGAGUCGAAAAGGCCGUGGGGAGCGAAAUCAGGAUUAAGAUAUCCUGGGUAGUGACCGUCGUAAAUCGUUUGGGAAACUAGGUGUUGGCGACAUUUCCACGUCGUCGGUGCCGCAGCUAAACGCAUUAAGUUUCUUCCGUCUGGGGAGUACGGCUCGUAAGGGCUAAAACUCAAAAGGAAUUGAUUGGGGGCCUGCAUAAGCAGCGGAGCAUGUGGCUUAAUUCGACGCAACGCGAAGAAUCUUAUCAAGGCUUGACAUAUAUCGGAAAGCAUCAGAGAUGGUGCUCUUUCUUGUGGUCGGUAUACAGGUGGUGCAUGGCUGUCGUCAGCUCGUGUCGUGAGAUGUUGGGUUAAGUCCCGCAACGAGCGCAACCCUUGUUCUGUGUUGUCAGCAUGCCUUUCGGGGUGAUGGGGACUCACAGGAGACUGCCGGGGUCAACUCGGAGGAAGGUGGGGACGACGUCAAGUCAUCAUGCCCCUUAUGUCUUGGGCUGCACACGUGCUACAAUGGCCGGUACAAUGAGCUGCGAUGCCGCGAGGCGGAGCGAAUCUCAAAAAGCCGGUCUCAGUUCGGAUUGGGGUCUGCAACUCGACCCCAUGAAGUCGGAGUUGCUAGUAAUCGCAGAUCAGCAUUGCUGCGGUGAAUACGUUCCCGGGCCUUGUACACACCGCCCGUCACGUCACGAAAGUCGGUAACACCCGAAGCCGGUGCCCAACCCCUGUGGAGGGAGCGUCGAAGGUGGACUUCGAUUG